CUUUCUCUGGUUUGUGUCUUUGUCCUGCGUGCCUGAUAGUUAUUAAAUUUCAGUUUCAGAUUCCACAGAAUAUGAUGUGAUGCUAAAAUCAGGUAAUUAUGCUUCAAUCUCAACUGUUACCACUUUGGAGGAAAAAAUCCUGUAACAGAAAAAUGGCAGUUUCCCAGUUAAUCUUAUACCUGUAGGGCCUACAAACCAAACCAGACUAGGGAUCUCCCUGGCCUGUGUUCCAGAUAAAGUCUGGGAUGAAAAUACCUUAUAGCUUUUAUUCUGAUGUUCUGACUAGAAUGGUUGAAAUUUAAUAGUACCUGCUGAAUUGCAAUGAGCUGUGGCUCCUUUUCUUGGUAUCUUUUAAAAACCACUAUACAAAAUUAUAUGUAAUUUAUUUGCCUUGGGACUAGAUAAUUUGGGUUAUUCAUAGUUAGUGAUCAAUCCUAUACUGUAGAGCUUUAAUUUCCUUUGCCUGGUUUCUCCAUAUCAGGCACACCUCAAAAUUGACUUCAUAUACUUGGUGUUCUGGUUGCACAGAGGGGGUGAAGAGAAAACGGCAAAGGAAGCAGUAGGUUUCAGGCAGAGGUGGUAGCAGUUGCAGCCAAGUGCCCUCCUGCUCGCCGAGUGUGCGAUGAGCCGGUGGUGAUGAGGAGGGGUUGGGCUUCCUUGGCCAGAGCAGGAGGUGGUGAUGCAUCCUGGUAGGGAAAAGGGGACGGAGCUGGAAGGUAAGGGGAAAAAGAGACUAGAGCGGUCAAGAAGUGUGGGUAGGCAAUUGUUGCCACCUCUUCUGAAAUUUUACCCAACGACUUAAUUUAUCUUUCAACUUAACAGUUUUUCAGUCACUGAUCUAGCUUCUUUUGUAUAGCAGUAUCCUUUGACCUGUAUGCCAAGCCAGGUAACAACAGGACUCUAACUCUGAUGAAUCCCAAAAAGUCUUUUUACCAAUGGAGGCUGCGAGUUCCUUCUAACUGUGUGGUGAGACUGGUAGUUAUCACUUUGCAUGGUGUCACUCCAGAGAGCUGUGCAUCACACCACUUAUCAGCAUAUGAUUUCCUUCUUCCUCUGCAGAACAAGAUCAUUACAAGAUGGUGUGGACCUGGGGCCUGGACUCCUCCUGUUGUACGUUUAACUUCAUCAAGUAAUGUCAUGUUGCUCACCUUCUCACUGGACCGAAGAGAAGAAAGCAACAUAUUAAAAGCUCACUUUCAAGCUGUUCCUAAAAUCAGUAAGUAAUUAACAGAAACAAGCAUCCGAUGUAAGCACACUUACUCCUGCUGUUGCCUUUAAAAAAGUUGAUAUUGCCUGGAUGUAUCUGGGGGGAAGGAAUGUUGGCAUAUAAGUCAGGGAAUUGUCAUUCUGAUCCACAUUUAAAAAAACAACAAAAAACCAAAAAAAACCAAGUCCGAGAACUGAACAAAGAAUAAGGGAAUAUUCUUUGGUCUGGGAGACUUGUCUUCCUGAUUACUACCCAAGGCAUACUUCCCAGCCAUUACUCUUACUACCUGGAUAACACUGAGCAAUGGUAGCAGAGCAGUCAGCAUAAAUGUCUCCAAAGCUUAAACGUUUCGCUUUAUGUCUCUGAGGAUGCUUCUUAGGCAAAUACUCAUCCUGUGCAUGUUACAAAUUAGAAUUGCUUCAUUGCUCUGAAGAUGGGCAUUCCAAAUGAGGUAUAGCCCAGGUUUUGCUACAAAAUAGUGCUGUUUUCAAAAUUGUCUUAAUUUCUGUUAUAUUCAUGUCUGCAUUUACUAUGUUAUCUAAAGGGAACCAAAAGCACUAAGGACUGGAUAUCUAGAAGAAUUCUUGGUGGAAAAUAAAACCUCAAAGAGAUUGUUCAAAUGUGGCAUGAAUUUUCAGACUGAGAACUGACACGCUUCCUGGUUUACAUGAAAUUAAUCAGAGGUUUCACUCCAUUGGGCUGAUUGCUUUUUUAACUUUUGA
Molecule: long non-coding RNA, 1929 nt
Filed under: Accipiter nisus (Eurasian sparrowhawk)
Lineage: Eukaryota; Metazoa; Chordata; Aves; Accipitriformes; Accipitridae
Description: lncRNA (ENSANIG00000017794.1)
Source: RNAcentral